AUAUUCUAAAAUGUUGUAAAAAUAAAUCUAUUUAAAGGUUGUUCUAGUAAGCAUUGUGAUGUACACCUACUAAUUGAAAAACAAUAGCCGCUAAAGUGUUUGCAGUUCUUUAUAUUUUGAUCAAUUCUAUUAUUUGUCUGUGUUUAAUAUUUGCGUAUAUUUUGUGUCCUGACAUGUUUUUACAGCUUUUAUGGUGGAAAUUGAAACACGUAAACUCAUGGUUUCUUCUGUAAAAAAAGUGUUUCUGUUUCAGGGACUGGCGUCCUCUAGAUACCAUCUGCCAGAUUGAAGCAGCAGAUUUCUUGAGCGUUCCCUUAUUCUGAGAGUACAGCAAACCUACUCAUAGCUCAAUUAAUCUGUCUUUAAAAUCUCAGUAAUAGCUGAAAUAUAGCGUGGAACUCAAAUUCAAUGCGUCAUCUUUUCUCAGCUAGUCUUGUCAAGAUAUUUCCACAUGUCAAAAGGGGGAGGUACACUGACAUAUAACAUUAUUACAAAUACCCCUCAUAGACAUGAUCUCAAGGGCCACAAAACCAAAAAGGGGCAUGUCUGGCUAUAUAGCAAACUUCAUGAAGAAUCUAGGUAUUUUACUCAUUUUAAGCUGCUGGCCUCUCGUUACUGAUAAUUUCCCAGGCCUGGGAAGAGUAAGCCUGGAGGUCCAAUGACUUAUAGAGUGCAUAAUGUCCAAACUCUUAGGAACUGAAAAUCUGUCAAUCAAAGAAGCUUACUUGCCAUCUCUUUCAAUCCUGCGAAACCACAGGCAAAAGUUUACUUUAGUACAUAAGAGGAUAUCAAGAAUUUUAAAACUGUUUUAUUGCUGUUCCCUAAACCUUGCAUAAUACUGUUGGACUUACCACAUAAGCAGUAAUUUUAUGACACACAAGGGGGUUUCUGGUAGUUGUAGUUCAACUGUAAGAAUGCAUGGAAAGCCACAGAUAGUUAACAGCAGAACUACAACUCUCAAUAAUCAAAGUCAUGGCAUCGUGUUCAGCAGUAUAAAG
Molecule: non-coding RNA, 998 nt
Organism: Pelobates cultripes (western spadefoot toad)
Lineage: Eukaryota; Metazoa; Chordata; Amphibia; Anura; Pelobatidae
Source: the annotation of a GenBank genome assembly